UAACAAACACCUCCCUUUUCUGUAUCAGAAGGUGUGUGAAAUCUAAGUUGGAACUUAAAUAGGAAGGGGCAAUUAUUAAAAUUUCUAUUUAUUAAUACUUUUUUUUUUUUUUUUUUUCUGUACAGGGCAAUGAAGAAAUUAGUACCAAGCUGGCAAAAGAGGUUGACAGAGUCAAUGACAGACAAGAAAUACAACAAAGCAUCAUCCUCUUAAGGGAGGUCUUCAACACAAAGAACAACUCUCCAAGAACAACAGCACUGUCACUCUCCAGGAAAGAAAGGGAAUGAAGCUGCAUGAAGAAGAUCUUGUGUAGCAUGUUGAGUCAAGACUUGAUAAGAAUCUUCAUUCAAGUCCUGCAUAAAUGUCAGAAUUAAGGUGAACUCUUCAAAAGCUGACAGUGGUCAUGUGCAUGUCUUUACCUGUAUAUGAAAUGAACUGGGGAGAUAAAUAAUUAGCUCACAUCGUUUAAUUUUAAGAAUGAGGGCUGUAUCUUUGUGUACCUUCUUAAUACAUCCACCAAAAUCUCAUCCUGUCUAGCCUCUCACAAGAACAUAGUACUUCUUCCCAAACCUCUCUUACCCAUCAUUCUAACCCUAUAAUUGCACUCUGUGAUCUCAUUGCUGAGUGAGGCUGGGGCCCUUUGGGACAAUCUUGUGUAAUCAUGUAAUUAAAAAUGCAUAAUAAACCACAUAAACAAGAGAACA
RNAcentral lists this long non-coding RNA (704 nucleotides) under Anas platyrhynchos platyrhynchos (common mallard). RNAcentral describes it as "lncRNA (ENSAPLG00000019407.1)". Lineage: Eukaryota; Metazoa; Chordata; Aves; Anseriformes; Anatidae. The record is from RNAcentral.